GUCGAGCGGAUGAGGGAGCUUGCUCCUGGAUUCAGCGGCGGACGGGUGAGUAAUGCCUAGGAAUCUGCCUGGUAGUGGGGGAUAACGUCCGGAAACGGGCGCUAAUACCGCAUACGUCCUGAGGGAGAAAGUGGGGGAUCUUCGGACCUCACGCUAUCAGAUGAGCCUAGGUCGGAUUAGCUAGUUGGUGGGGUAAAGGCCUACCAAGGCGACGAUCCGUAACUGGUCUGAGAGGAUGAUCAGUCACACUGGAACUGAGACACGGUCCAGACUCCUACGGGAGGCAGCAGUGGGGAAUAUUGGACAAUGGGCGAAAGCCUGAUCCAGCCAUGCCGCGUGUGUGAAGAAGGUCUUCGGAUUGUAAAGCACUUUAAGUUGGGAGGAAGGGCAGUAAGUUAAUACCUUGCUGUUUUGACGUUACCAACAGAAUAAGCACCGGCUAACUUCGUGCCAGCAGCCGCGGUAAUACGAAGGGUGCAAGCGUUAAUCGGAAUUACUGGGCGUAAAGCGCGCGUAGGUGGUUCAGCAAGUUGGAUGUGAAAUCCCCGGGCUCAACCUGGGAACUGCAUCCAAAACUACUGAGCUAGAGUACGGUAGAGGGUGGUGGAAUUUCCUGUGUAGCGGUGAAAUGCGUAGAUAUAGGAAGGAACACCAGUGGCGAAGGCGACCACCUGGACUGAUACUGACACUGAGGUGCGAAAGCGUGGGGGAGCAAACAGGAUUAGAUACCCUGGUAGUCCACGCCGUAAACGAUGUCGACUAGCCGUUGGGAUCCUUGAGAUCUUAGUGGCGCAGCUAACGCGAUAAGUCGACCGCCUGGGGAGUACGGCCGCAAGGUUAAAACUCAAAUGAAUUGACGGGGGCCCGCACAAGCGGU
Molecule: ribosomal RNA, 877 nt
Filed under: Pseudomonas sp.
Lineage: Bacteria; Pseudomonadati; Pseudomonadota; Gammaproteobacteria; Pseudomonadales; Pseudomonadaceae
Description: bacterial SSU rRNA
Rfam family: Bacterial small subunit ribosomal RNA
Source: RNAcentral